This 54-nucleotide microRNA precursor is filed under the name Bos taurus (domestic cattle). RNAcentral's name for it is "microRNA bta-mir-11986 precursor". Lineage: Eukaryota; Metazoa; Chordata; Mammalia; Artiodactyla; Bovidae. The record is from miRBase by way of RNAcentral.
UUGUCCAAUGAGUUAGUCCUUCACAUCAGGUGGCCAAAGUAUUGGAGUUUCAGC